Daucus carota subsp. sativus is the source of this 762-nucleotide RNA transcript. RefSeq lists it as uncharacterized. NCBI's taxonomy places the organism in Eukaryota, Viridiplantae, Streptophyta, Magnoliopsida, Apiales, Apiaceae. The record is from RefSeq and is a predicted model, not a curated record. The transcript has 2 exons.
UGUGAAUCGCAUGAGCGGCUUGAGUUUGUUGGUGACUCUGUUCUUAACAUUUUGAUCACUCGACAACAGUUUAACAUGUAUCUAAAUCUUCCUCCGAGGAUGUUGUCUCCACUUCGUUCUGCUAAUGUUGACACGGAAAAGCUAGCACGUGCAGCAAUUAAGUAUGGCUUGCUUAAGUAUUUACGGCAUAAUAACCGCAAACUCAGUCACAAAUAUCUGACUGCGGAAAGAAGGUAUCUGAUGUCAAAGUGAUUCAUGGUGCUUUUGAAUAUGUGGUAAAUCAGAGGCCAGAUGGUGAUUGUGUCCCCUAAAGACAGAUACAAAUAUAGCUGCUGCUUAGAGGAGCCAAAAAGUUGGUUGUUGAUUUGUGUCGUCCAUCAGGUCUCAGUGGACUUGCCAAGAAGAAGCAUGUUAUCCUUCCACUGACAGGAGAGUGACGUGGUCACUGCGCUGUGAAACCAGCCUAGCGCAAUGCCUUCCACUUUAAAGACCAGGACCACCGAGCCUUCGCUCAGUGGCCAUGAGCCAUCUCUAUACUGAUGAUUUCAGGGGUGCUAACGGCAUGGUUAGUUAUUUUGUUUUUUUGUUGCAGUUUGGGGGUUGGUUAUUUUUCUUAUCCAACUAUUGCUCAUCUUUCCUUGGAUGAGUGAAACUUCACGCAUUGUACCUAUUAUCAGCCUUGGUUUCUUGAAUGUAAAGCAUAUGUUAUUCAUUCUGUUGAAAUUUUAUGAUUUGCAAUACCAAGUUGUCUAUUAUGGUCUC